CGGACGGGUGAGUAAUGUCUGGGAAACCGCCUGAUGGAGGGGGAUAACUGCUGGAAACGGUAGCUAAUACCGCAUAACGUCGCAAGACCAAAGAGGGGGACCUUCGGGCCUCUUGCCAUCGGAUGUGCCCAGAUGGGAUUAGCUAGUAGGUGGGGUAACGGCUCACCUAGGCGACGAUCCCUAGCUGGUCUGAGAGGAUGACCAGCCACACUGGAACUGAGACACGGUCCAG
This 232-nucleotide ribosomal RNA is filed under the name uncultured bacterium. Its description in RNAcentral is "partial 16S ribosomal RNA". It matches the Rfam family "Bacterial small subunit ribosomal RNA", at positions 99 to 334 of the family's 1533-position model. The record is from RNAcentral.